This 381-nucleotide ribosomal RNA is filed under the name uncultured bacterium. Its description in RNAcentral is "bacterial SSU rRNA". It matches the Rfam family "Archaeal small subunit ribosomal RNA", at positions 473 to 853 of the family's 1478-position model. RNAcentral also lists the same sequence under 1 other name. The record is from RNAcentral.
AUACCGGCAGUUCGAGUGAUGGCCGCUUUUAUUGGGCCUAAAGCGUUCGUAGCUGGCCAGUCAAGUCUGUCGGGAAAUCCAGUGGCUUAACCACUGGACGUCCGGCGGAAACUGAUUGGCUUGGGACCGGGAGAUCCAAGGGGUACGUUCGGGGUAGGAGUGAAAUCCUAUAAUCCUGAACGGACCACCGAUGGCGAAAGCACCUUGGAAGCACGGAUCCGACAGUGAGGAACGAAAGCUGGGGUCUCGAACCGGAUUAGAUACCCGGGUAGUCCCAGCCGUAAACGAUGCUCGCUAGGUAUGGCGCAGGCCAUGAGCCUGCGCUGUGCCGUAGGGAAGCCGAGAAGCGAGCCGCCUGGGAAGUACGUUCGCAAGAAUGAA